AACGAACGCUGGCGGCAGGCUUAACACAUGCAAGUCGAACGCACCUUUCGGGGUGAGUGGCCGACGGGUGAGUAACGCGUGGGAAUCUACCCUUCUCUACGGGAUAGCUCCGGGAAACUGGAUUUAAUACCGUAUACGUCCUGAGGGAGAAAGAUUUAUCGGGGAAGGAUGAGCCCGCGUUGGAUUAGCUAGUUGGUGGGGUAAAGGCCUACCAAGGCGACGAUCCAUAGCUGGUCUAAGAGGAUGAUCAGCCACAUUGGGACUGAGACACGGCCCAAACUCCUACGGGAGGCAGCAGUGGGGAAUAUUGGGCAAUGGGCGCAAGCCUGAUCCAGCCAUGCCGGGUGAGUGAUGAAGGCCCUAGGGUUGUAAAGCUCUUUCAGUGGGGACGAUAAUGACGGUACCCACAGAAGAAGCCCCGGCUAACUUCGUG
RNAcentral lists this ribosomal RNA (433 nucleotides) under uncultured bacterium. Its description in RNAcentral is "partial 16S ribosomal RNA". It matches the Rfam family "Bacterial small subunit ribosomal RNA", at positions 29 to 507 of the family's 1533-position model. The record is from RNAcentral.